CAGGCCUAACACAUGCAAGUCGAGCGGAAACGACACUAACAAUCCUUCGGGUGCGUUAAUGGGCGUCGAGCGGCGGACGGGUGAGUAAUGCCUAGGAAAUUGCCUUGAUGUGGGGGAUAACCAUUGGAAACGAUGGCUAAUACCGCAUAAUGCCUACGGGCCAAAGAGGGGGACCUUCGGGCCUCUCGCGUCAAGAUAUGCCUAGGUGGGAUUAGCUAGUUGGUGAGGUAAUGGCUCACCAAGGCGACGAUCCCUAGCUGGUCUGAGGGGAUGAUCAGCCACACUGGAACUGAGACACGGUCCAGACUCCUACGGGAGGCAGCAGUGGGGAAUAUUGCACAAUGGGCGAAAGCCUGAUGCAGCCAUGCCGCGUGUAUGAAGAAGGCCUUCGGGUUGUAAAGUACUUUCAGUUGUGAGGAAGGGGGUGUUGUUAAUAGCAACAUCUCUUGACGUUAGCAACAGAAGAAGCACCGGCUAACUCCGUGCCAGCAGCCGCGGUAAUACGGAGGGUGCGAGCGUUAAUCGGAAUUACUGGGCGUAAAGCGCAUGCAGGUGGUUCAUUAAGUCAGAUGUGAAAGCCCGGGGCUCAACCUCGGAACUGCAUUUGAAACUGGUGAACUAGAGUACUGUAGAGGGGGGUAGAAUUUCAGGUGUAGCGGUGAAAUGCGUAGAGAUCUGAAGGAAUACCAGUGGCGAAGGCGGCCCCCUGGACAGAUACUGACACUCAGAUGCGAAAGCGUGGGGAGCAAA
Molecule: ribosomal RNA, 750 nt
Filed under: uncultured bacterium
Lineage: Bacteria
Description: bacterial SSU rRNA
Rfam family: Bacterial small subunit ribosomal RNA
Source: RNAcentral